Molecule: long non-coding RNA, 294 nt
Organism: Eurytemora carolleeae
Lineage: Eukaryota; Metazoa; Arthropoda; Copepoda; Calanoida; Temoridae
Exons: 3
Source: RefSeq, a predicted model, not a curated record
AUUAGAGAGAUAAUUAUUUUUUAUGUUUGAUAGGUUUUAGUCUCGUUAAGUGUUGUAUAGGAAAGGUUCAAGUUGCAUUAAAAGUUGCUUUUAGUGAAGAGAGGAUUGAAACUAAUCCUAAUGUGCAAGUGCAGCAAUAUAUGAUAAAAGACUGAUUCAGAUUUAAAUUGUCAAUAAAGCAGGAAGGUAAACUCUAGUUUCUUCACAAUAUCCCUUCAGCUUUCAUCAACUAAACUAAGUUUGUUAUGAUCAACUGAAGUGGCAACAGCAGUAGUAAUAGUCGGGAUCAGGGAU